CCUACGGGAGGCAGCAGUAGGGAAUUUUCGUCAAUGGGCGCAAGCCUGAACGAGCAAUGCCGCGUGAACGAGGAAGGUCUUCGGAUCGUAAAGUUCUGUUGAAGGGGAAAAAGAGCGGAGAGAGGAAAUGCUUUCUGAUUGAUAUUACCCUUCGAGGAAGUCACGGCUAACUACGUGCAAGCAGCCGCGGUAAUACGUAGGUGGCGAGCGUUAUCCGGAAUGAUUGGGCGUAAGGGGUGCGUAGGCGGCCUGCUAAGUCUGGAGUGAAAGGUACCGGCUCAACCGGUACAGGCUCUGGAAACUGGCGGGCUAGAGGGCAGGAGAGGGCGGUGGAACUCCAUGUGUAGCGGUAAAAUGCGUAGAUAUAAGGAAGAACACCAGUGGCGAAGGCGGCCGCCUGGCCUGUUACUGACGCUGAGGCACGAAAGCGUGGGGAGCAAAUAGGAUUAGAUACCCGAGUAGUC
This 464-nucleotide ribosomal RNA is filed under the name uncultured bacterium. RNAcentral's name for it is "partial 16S ribosomal RNA". It matches the Rfam family "Bacterial small subunit ribosomal RNA", at positions 338 to 795 of the family's 1533-position model. The record is from RNAcentral.